UACGUAGGAGGCAAGCGUUGUCCGGAAUUACUGGGCGUAAAGCGCGUGUAGGUGGUGGGACAAGUCUGCUGUGAAAGCGCCUGGCUUAACCGGGCGAGGUCGGCGGAAACUGUCCGACUAGAGGACGGUAGAGGGGGGUGGAAUUCCCGGUGUAGUGGUGAAAUGCGUAGAGAUCGGGAGGAACACCUGUGGCGAAGGCGGCCCCCUGGGCCGGCCCUGACACUGAGGAGCGAAAGCGUGGGGAGCAAACAGG
This 253-nucleotide ribosomal RNA is filed under the name uncultured bacterium. RNAcentral describes it as "partial 16S ribosomal RNA". It matches the Rfam family "Bacterial small subunit ribosomal RNA", at positions 524 to 776 of the family's 1533-position model. The record is from RNAcentral.